RNAcentral lists this ribosomal RNA (687 nucleotides) under uncultured Pseudomonadota bacterium. Its description in RNAcentral is "bacterial SSU rRNA". It matches the Rfam family "Bacterial small subunit ribosomal RNA", at positions 65 to 746 of the family's 1533-position model. The record is from RNAcentral. Lineage: Bacteria; Pseudomonadati; Pseudomonadota.
AACAGGAAGAAGCUUGCUUCUUUGCUGACGAGUGGCGGACGGGUGAGUAAUGUCUGGGAAACUGCCUGAUGGAGGGGGAUAACUACUGGAAACGGUAGCUAAUACCGCAUAACGUCGCAAGACCAAAGAGGGGGACCUUCGGGCCUCUUGCCAUCGGAUGUGCCCAGAUGGGAUUAGCUAGUAGGUGGGGUAACGGCUCACCUAGGCGACGAUCCCUAGCUGGUCUGAGAGGAUGACCAGACACACUGGAACUGAGACACGGUCCAGACUCCUACGGGAGGCAGCAGUGGGGAAUAUUGCACAAUGGGCGCAAGCCUGAUGCAGCCAUGCCGAGUGUAUGAAGAAGGCCUUCGGGUUGUAAAGUGCUUUCAAGCGGGGAGGAAGGGAGUAAAGUUAAUACCUUUGCUCAUUGACGUUACCCGAAGAAGAAGCACCGGCUAACUCCGUGCCAGCAGACGCGGUAAUACGGAGGGUGCAAGCGUUAAUCGGAAUUACUGGGCGUAAAGCGCACGCAGGCGGAUCGUAAGGUCAGAUGUGAAAUCCCCGGGCUCAACCUGGGAACUGCAUCUGAUACUGGCAAGCUUGAGUCUCGUAGAGGGGGGUAGAAUUCCAGGUGUAGCGGUGAAAUGCGUAGAGAUCUGGAGGAAUACCGGUGGCGAAGGCGGCCCCCUGGACGAAGACUGACGC